CAGUCGCGCGGGAAAACGGAGGGGGCUAGCGUUGUUCGGAAUUACUGGGCGUAAAGCGCACGUAGGCGGCUUUGUAAGUUAGAGGUGAAAGCCCGGAGCUCAACUCCGGAAUUGCCUUUAAGACUGCAGAGCCAGCAGGUGAGAGAGGUGAGUGGAAUUCCGAGUGUAGAGGUGAAAUUCGUAGAUAUUCGGAAGAACACCAGUGGCGAAGGCGGCUCACUGGCUCAUACUGGACGCUGAGGUGCGAAAGCGUGGGGAGCAAACAGGAUUAGAUACCCCAGUAGUCCCUGUCUCUUAUACA
RNAcentral lists this ribosomal RNA (301 nucleotides) under uncultured bacterium. RNAcentral describes it as "partial 16S ribosomal RNA". It matches the Rfam family "Bacterial small subunit ribosomal RNA", at positions 509 to 808 of the family's 1533-position model. The record is from RNAcentral.